Molecule: long non-coding RNA, 282 nt
Filed under: Ananas comosus (pineapple)
Lineage: Eukaryota; Viridiplantae; Streptophyta; Magnoliopsida; Poales; Bromeliaceae
Description: long non-coding RNA (ACOM_LNC026193)
Source: RNAcentral
UCCUACAGGUUUAACUCCAAUAGGUAACUCAACAAGAUCCUAUACCUUAUUGUGGUUCAUGAAUUCAAUCUCAUCCUUCAUGGCAUUGUACCAUUCCGUAUAAUUAUUACUAUUUAUGGCUUCGGAAAAACUAAGAGGAUCAUCUAAACUCUGACCAUUCUCAUAAAGAUAGACAAUAUAAUCACUGGAUAUAGCCGGUCUUCUCUGUCUUGAGGAUCUUCUUAAAUCUAUCUGAUUAUUCACAUGUAUAUCUUGAUGUGGAUUAUUCACUUGUACAUCUUG